GUGAUCCCGGGGAGUUUUAGUGCUUACACAUAGUGUAGGCUUUUGCCAUUGGCAAAUACCUUGGAGAAUAAGUGGUGGGUAAGACCGGUGCCAGCAGCCGCGGUAACCCCGGCGCCACGAGUGGCAAUCUUGUACUUGGCCUUAAGCAUUCGUAGCCGGUUUGAAAAAUCCUUUGUGAAAUUGUUGAACUCAAUACAACAGCGUGCAGGGGACACUUUCAGACUAGAGACUGGGAGGAGUUGGGGGUAUUUCUAGGGGAGCGGUUAAAUGUGAUAAUCCUGGAAAGACCACCUGUGGCGAAGGCGCCCAACUAGAACAGUUCUGACGGUGAGGGAUGAAAGCUAGGGGAGCGAUCCGGAUUAGAUACCCGAGUAGUCCUAGCCGUAAACACUGCCAGCUAGGUGUCGCAUAUUCUACGUGAAUGUGCGGUGUCGAAACGAAGGUGCUAAGCUGCCGCCUGGGAAGUACGGUCGCAAGACUGAAACUUAAAGGAAUUGGCGGGGGAAUACACCAGGAGUGCGGCGUGCGGUUUAAUCUAACUCAACGCAGAGCACCUCACUAGAAGCGACGGCAGGAUGAAGAUCAGUCUGAAGGGCUUAUCUGACGAGCCGAGAGGUAGUGCAUGGCCGCCGUCAGCUCGUGUCGUAAGAUGUCCAGUUAAGUCUGGCAACGAGCAAGACCUGUAUCUAUAAUUGCUAACGGGAUCUUCGGAUUGACUGAGCUCAUUAUAGAGACUUGCCUUCGUAAGGAGGAGGAAGGUGCAGGCAACGGUAGGUCUGUAUGCUCCGAAUCUUCUAGGCUACACGCGCGCAACAGUGGUACCCACUGGGAUGCAACACCGUAAGGUGAAGCUAAUCCUCGAAACUUUAUCGUAGUUUAGAUCGUGGACAACUCA
RNAcentral lists this ribosomal RNA (895 nucleotides) under uncultured euryarchaeote. Its description in RNAcentral is "bacterial SSU rRNA". It matches the Rfam family "Archaeal small subunit ribosomal RNA", at positions 367 to 1270 of the family's 1478-position model. The record is from RNAcentral. Lineage: Archaea; Methanobacteriati; Methanobacteriota.